Alnus glutinosa is the source of this 2799-nucleotide long non-coding RNA. RefSeq lists it as uncharacterized. The record is from RefSeq and is a predicted model, not a curated record. The transcript has 5 exons. Lineage: Eukaryota; Viridiplantae; Streptophyta; Magnoliopsida; Fagales; Betulaceae.
CCUCUUGUCUCUUUUCGUUCCAAAAGAAUAUUUCUCUCCUUUUCUUUGAUUUACGAAAAUCUAACCAUCCAAAUUUAAAUUCGAUUUCGGUAACGUGAUCUACGAAGCCCGAUCUACGUUUCUACCGAUUGGUUUGAGGAUUUGUUGUGAGGAGCUUGCUAAACACUCUCCAAGUGUUGAAUUUACAUUUGGUGGAAUUUUUGUAAUGCAUUGCAUGGUAGUGUCUAGGAGACCUAGUGCUUAAUAUCCGCGCAGCCAAGUAAUGCAUUGCAUGGUGGUGUCUAGGAGACCUAGUGCUUAAUAUCCGUGCAACGAAGACAUUGAUGCUUUGGUUACAGGUUCUGCGGAUAUAGAUAUUGACUCGUCCACCUAGCGUAUGCGAUGUUAUAAUUGGAGCACAUCGCGACAAUCAUAAGUUGUGGACUCAUGGGUAGUUCGUAGUUUGAGUAUUUUAUUUAUGGCUCGAGUCCUACGUGGUAUAUGUAUUUAUUAAGCCCGUAUUUUAGUACGUAAUUAGUGUAAUAUGUUUUAUAAGCCUUAAAUAGAUAGACUUGUAAAUGGCUCUUGUUGUAAUUAAAUGUUAUGUAUUAGAUGUAUUUCCGCUAUUGAUAUGUGUUGCACUGCACAUUGAUAUAUUCUGUUGUGUUAGAUGUAACUCUGAAUAUUAGGUACAUGUUAUGGAACGUGAAUGUUGUGUUGGCUGAGCGACCAGUAGUCAUGCCACUGUAAAGAUCCAUUUAUGUAUAUUUAAAAAAAGAAAAAAAAAUGGGUCGUCACACUCGUAACGAUCACAAAUCUAGGGAGAAGUUGUUAGAGGCGCAGCUACAGAUAGAGAGGCUGACUGAUGAGAAGCUGACCCACAUGCUAUAAGUCCAAAAGAGCCCAACAAACAAGAUAGGACUCAGGUAUGUAGCCUCUACCUCAGAUAUCCCCUCCACUUCAAAGACUGUGUUCGUCAAGCCCACAGUCCCCGAGCCUCCUCACGCCUGCAUGGAUAAAGGAAAGGAUUUCAUUGGAGGAGAAGAUUCGGUUGUUACGAAACACAUUCAGAAGACUCCUACCAAAAGAAUUGGUCACAUCCGACCCAGGUGUCCUCAACGUCAGACUCAAAAGGAGCCUUCAAGAUAAGCUACAUCCGACACUAGACCUCUAACAAGAUAUCAGGCUUCGCAGCAUCCGCGACGAUAGCAGUGAUUUGUUCCUUCCCAUAAUGGCAAACUAAAGAAAAACAAAUCAUGGCACUACUAGGAGGAGUCACAGAAGCCCAAAAGCAACCAAUCUUAUGAGGGGCUAUCUAUUUUGAUGCGGAACUUGCUAAGAUAGAUGGAAAACCACUUGAAGGCCUGUCAACAACCACCACAGGAAAGGCAGGUUUAGGUCAGAACGGAUGAGGGCACUCACCCCUUAAAGAGGAAUGGACUCACUUAGUGAAAGUGAAGUCUCACCAAGCCUAGGAUUUUGGUUCCUAAAUCCUAGUGCAUGUCAGGUUUGGUUGCAUUGCAUUAUUUAUCAUAACAUAUCUUAUACUUUGCACAUUGUUUGAGGAACCCCAUAUUUUUUCUUGUUGUCUUGAGAAAAUUUCUGCAAGUACUUUAUGAGGAUGACAGAAAAAGCACAUCGGCCGGCUGCUUUUCUGUCUUGGUUGUUAGUUUUGUUGGCUGUAUUCUGACAAAAUCACUAUUAUGUAAUGUUACUGUCGUAAACAGGGAUGCUGUAUAUUUCAGAAUAUUCACAAUAUUUAGAGUUUUUGUCUUUAAUACGAAACAGGCUUAUUAUGACAAGUUUCAAUGUCACAAGCUUCAAGAAGGCUAAUUCAGUGUUCUAGGAAGAUUCUGUACAGUUUCCAACUUAGAAAAAGUUGAAUCCUUUGUUUCCGUCAAACAGCCCAGUGAUGCGUUCAGACGCCCAUCAGUGUCGAGAAGCUUCUGAACAGCUCCAGGUUGCAUCUGUCCAGACGUCAUGGCAACACAUUCGGACGCUCUUCAGAGUUCGAGAAGAUUCUAGUUUUCCUUUGUAGACACAGAUUGGGAAGACAGUUUGCAUCCAUCCUGAUGACGGGGCAACACCGUCCGAACAAGGUCCUUGAUAAGGAAAUUGCGUGCAUACAAUCUGCAACUGUCCGGACUCUAGUGCAACACCGUCCGACAAGGUUCUUGAUAAGGAAAUUACGUGCAGACAAUUUGCAACCGUCCGGACUCUAGGGCAACACUGUUCGAACAGGACCUUAAUAUGGAGAGCGUGAAGCGCGUUAUGGAAAGGCAAUUACAGUUAUCCGUUCGGACGCGGCCUAGAGAAGUUAGUUUCGGACUCGACUUAGCUUUUCUUAAGCCUAUAAAUAGAGGCCUCUAGGCAUGUAAAAAUCAUAAAUUCAGUAUUGAAUUCUUCUGUACUUAGAGAAGGUGAUUAAGUAGAAAUUGUGAAGAUCCGCUAGCUCUCUAAGGGUUGUCGGUGUGUUGUUACUUUGUUCGCGUGAAGUCAAUCUUAGGGAGGAGCCCUAAGGUAAAGGAAUCGAUUGAAGACCUCCUUCAAGUAAGUUACUUAGUUGGGAGAUGUUCACGUUGGGUUACGUGUCAGAGUGCAAGAUAUGAUCGCUGUAUAAGGGUAUGAGAGUGUUACUGUCUUGUUACUAGCUUUGCCUUCUGAAUAGUGAAAUUCUUGAGUUUGGCUACCCCGGAGUUUUUUUUUCUCUUAAUUGGGUUUCCACUUCGUUAACAAAAUAUCUGUCUUAUUUAAAUUCCACACUUUUGAUAUUUUGUUACACAUUGCUCACACACACACCGUAAAUUAGAAGUCUCUUUA